This 572-nucleotide ribosomal RNA is filed under the name Aestuariibacter sp. Its description in RNAcentral is "bacterial SSU rRNA". It matches the Rfam family "Bacterial small subunit ribosomal RNA", at positions 601 to 1172 of the family's 1533-position model. Lineage: Bacteria; Pseudomonadati; Pseudomonadota; Gammaproteobacteria; Alteromonadales; Alteromonadaceae. The record is from RNAcentral.
CCCUGGGCUCAACCUGGGAAGUGCAUUUGAAACUGGAUGGCUUGAGUAUGGGAGAGGGAAGUGGAAUUCCUGGUGUAGCGGUGAAAUGCGUAGAUAUCAGGAGGAACAUCGGUGGCGAAGGCGACUUCCUGGACCAAUACUGACGCUGAGGCGCGAAGGCGUGGGUAGCAAACAGGAUUAGAUACCCUGGUAGUCCACGCAGUAAACGUUGUUCACUAGGUGUAGCGGGUAUUGACCCCUGCUGUGCCGCAGCUAACGCAUUAAGUGAACCGCCUGGGGAGUACGGCCGCAAGGCUAAAACUCAAAGGAAUUCACGGGGGCCCGCACAAGCGGUGGAGCAUGUGGUUUAAUUCGACGCAACGCGAAGAACCUUACCUGGGUUUGACAUCCUGCGAAUCUUUGAGAGAUCAAAGAGUGCCUUCGGGAACGCAGUGACAGGUGCUGCAUGGCUGUCGUCAGCUCGUGUCGUGAGAUGUUGGGUUAAGUCCCGCAACGAGCGCAACCCUUAUCUUUAGUUACCAGCACUUCGGGUGGGGACUCUAGAGAUACUGCCCCGGUUAACGGGGAGGAAG